UGCCAGCCGCCGCGGUAACACGGAGGGUGCGAGCGUUAUCCGGAUUUAUUGGGUUUAAAGGGUACGCAGGCGGUGAGGUCAGUCAGUGGUGAAAGCCAACCGCUUAACUGUUGAACUGCCCUUGAUACUGCCAGACUAGAGUUUAGUCGAGGUGGGUGGAAUUCCACAUGUAGUGGUGAAAUGCAUAGAUAUGUGGAGGAACACCGAUAACGAAGGUAACUCACUAGGCUAAUACUGACGCUGAGGUACGAGAGCGUGGGGAGCGAACGGGAUUAGAUA
RNAcentral lists this ribosomal RNA (279 nucleotides) under uncultured bacterium. Its description in RNAcentral is "partial 16S ribosomal RNA". It matches the Rfam family "Bacterial small subunit ribosomal RNA", at positions 506 to 784 of the family's 1533-position model. The record is from RNAcentral.